RNAcentral lists this ribosomal RNA (1369 nucleotides) under uncultured bacterium. Its description in RNAcentral is "bacterial SSU rRNA". It matches the Rfam family "Bacterial small subunit ribosomal RNA", at positions 28 to 1381 of the family's 1533-position model. The record is from RNAcentral.
GACGAACGCUGGCGGCGUGCCUAAUACAUGCAAGUAGAACGCUGAAGAGAGGAGCUUGCUCUUCUUGGAUGAGUUGCGAACGGGUGAGUAACGCGUAGGUAACCUGCCUUGUAGCGGGGGAUAACUAUUGGAAACGAUAGCUAAUACCGCAUAACAAUGGAUGACACAUGUCAUUUAUUUGAAAGGGGCAAUUGCUCCACUACAAGAUGGACCUGCGUUGUAUUAGCUAGUAGGUGAGGUAAUGGCUCACCUAGGCGACGAUACAUAGCCGACCUGAGAGGGUGAUCGGCCACACUGGGACUGAGACACGGCCCAGACUCCUACGGGAGGCAGCAGUAGGGAAUCUUCGGCAAUGGGGGCAACCCUGACCGAGCAACGCCGCGUGAGUGAAGGAGGUUUUCGGAUCGUAAAGCUCUGUUGUAAGUCAAGAACGGGUGUGAGAGUGGAAAGUUCACACUGUGACGGUAGCUUACCAGAAAGGGACGGCUAACUACGUGCCAGCAGCCGCGGUAAUACGUAGGUCCCGAGCGUUGUCCGGAUUUAUUGGGCGUAAAGCGAGCGCAGGCGGUUUGAUAAGUCUGAAGUUAAAGGCUGUGGCUCAACCAUAGUUCGCUUUGGAAACUGUCAAACUUGAGUGCAGAAGGGGAGAGUGGAAUUCCAUGUGUAGCGGUGAAAUGCGUAGAUAUAUGGAGGAACACCGGUGGCGAAAGCGGCUCUCUGGUCUGUAACUGACGCUGAGGCUCGAAAGCGUGGGGAGCGAACAGGAUUAGAUACCCUGGUAGUCCACGCCGUAAACGAUGAGUGCUAGGUGUUGGAUCCUUUCCGGGAUUCAGUGCCGCAGCUAACGCAUUAAGCACUCCGCCUGGGGAGUACGACCGCAAGGUUGAAACUCAAAGGAAUUGACGGGGGCCCGCACAAGCGGUGGAGCAUGUGGUUUAAUUCGAAGCAACGCGAAGAACCUUACCAGGUCUUGACAUCCCGAUGCUAUUUCUAGAGAUAGAAAGUUACUUCGGUACAUCGGUGACAGGUGGUGCAUGGUCGUCGUCAGCUCGUGUCGUGAGAUGUUGGGUUAAGUCCCGCAACGAGCGCAACCCCUAUUGUUAGUUGCCAUCAUUCAGUUGGGCACUCUAGCGAGACUGCCGGUAAUAAACCGGAGGAAGGUGGGGAUGACGUCAAAUCAUCAUGCCCCUUAUGACCUGGGCUACACACGUGCUACAAUGGUUGGUACAACGAGUUGCGAGUCGGUGACGGCGAGCUAAUCUCUUAAAGCCAAUCUCAGUUCGGAUUGUAGGCUGCAACUCGCCUACAUGAAGUCGGAAUCGCUAGUAAUCGCGGAUCAGCACGCCGCGGUGAAUACGUUCCCGGGCCU